Molecule: transfer RNA, 76 nt
Filed under: Betaproteobacteria bacterium HGW-Betaproteobacteria-13
Lineage: Bacteria; Pseudomonadati; Pseudomonadota; Betaproteobacteria
Description: tRNA-Lys
Rfam family: tRNA
About the family: Transfer RNA (tRNA) molecules are approximately 80 nucleotides in length. Their secondary structure includes four short double-helical elements and three loops (D, anti-codon, and T loops).
Source: RNAcentral
GGGGGUAUAGCUCAGUUGGUAGAGCAGCUGACUCUUAAUCAGUAGGUCCGGUGUUCGAGUCACCGUGCCCCCACCA